RNAcentral lists this ribosomal RNA (413 nucleotides) under uncultured eukaryote. RNAcentral describes it as "SSU rRNA". It matches the Rfam family "Eukaryotic small subunit ribosomal RNA", at positions 567 to 990 of the family's 1831-position model. The record is from RNAcentral.
GCAGCAGCUGCGGUAAUUCCAGCUCUAAUAGCGUAUAUUAAAGUUGUUGCAGUUAAAAAGCUCGUAGUCGGAUGUCGGGCUCGGGCAGGCUGUCGGCUUCGGUCGGACGGCAGGCUCGGGUCUUUCUGCCUGAGGAACCCGUGGCACUUAACUGUGCGGCGUGGGGACGCAGGCCGUUUACUUUGAAAAAAUUAGAGUGUUCAAAGCAGGCCUACGCUUGAAUACAUUAGCAUGGAAUAAUGGAAUAGGACUUUGGUGCUAUUUUGUUGGUUUAUGGGACCGAAGUAAUGAUUAACAGGGACAGGCGGGGCUAUUCGUAUUGCAUUGUCAGAGGUGAAAUUCUUGGAUUUCUGCAAGACGAGCUACUGCGAAAGCAUUUAGCAAGGAUGUUUUCAUUAAUCAAGAACGAAAGU